RNAcentral lists this ribosomal RNA (463 nucleotides) under uncultured bacterium. RNAcentral's name for it is "bacterial SSU rRNA". It matches the Rfam family "Bacterial small subunit ribosomal RNA", at positions 28 to 507 of the family's 1533-position model. The record is from RNAcentral.
GAUGAACGCUGGCGGCGUGCCUAACACAUGCAAGUCGAACGGGAGCCUUGAUUUCGGUCGAGGUGAGAGUGGCGAACGGGUGAGUAACACGUAGCUGACCUGCCCUGGAGCGGGGGAUAACUGCUGGAAACGGCGGCUAAUACCCCAUACGUUCAUGGUGGUUAGAGGGCCAUGAGGAAAGCGAGCAGUGCUCUGGGAAGGGGGCUGCGGUCCAUCAGCUAGUUGGCAGGGUAAAGGCCUACCAAGGCGAAGACGGAUAGGGGGCCUGAGAGGGUGACCCCCCACACUGGGACUGAGACACGGCCCAGACUCCUACGGGAGGCAGCAGUGAGGAAUAUUGCACAAUAGGCGCAAGCCUGAUGCAGCAACGCCGCGUGGACGAUGAAGGCCUUCGGGUUGUAAAGUCCUUUUCUGUGGGAAGAAGCGGACGGUACCACAGGAAGAAGUGUCGGCUAACUACGUG